This 301-nucleotide ribosomal RNA is filed under the name uncultured bacterium. RNAcentral's name for it is "partial 16S ribosomal RNA". It matches the Rfam family "Bacterial small subunit ribosomal RNA", at positions 509 to 807 of the family's 1533-position model. The record is from RNAcentral.
CAGUAGCCGCGGGAAAACGUAGGUGGCAGGCGUUGUCCGGAAUUAUUGGGCGUAAAGGGCUCGCAGGCGGUUUCUUAAGUCUGAUGUGAAAGCCCCCGGCUCAACCGGGGAGGGUCAUUGGAAACUGGGAAACUUGAGUGCAGAAGAGGAGAGUGGAAUUCCACGUGUAGCGGUGAAAUGCGUAGAGAUGUGGAGGAACACCAGUGGCGAAGGCGACUCUCUGGUCUGUAACUGACGCUGAGGAGCGAAAGCGUGGGGAGCGAACAGAAUUAGAUACCCCUGUAGUCCCUGUCUCUUAUAC